UAGUCCACGCCGUAAACGAUGGUUACUAGCUGUUCGGACUUCGGUCUGAGUGGCUAAGCGAAAGUGAUAAGUAACCCACCUGGGGAGUACGUUCGCAAGAAUGAAACUCAAAGGAAUUGACGGGGGCCCGCACAAGCGGUGGAGCAUGUGGUUUAAUUCGAUGAUACGCGAGGAACCUUACCAGGGCUUAAAUGUAGUAUGACAGGUUUAGAGAUAGACUUUUCUUCGGACAUAUUACAAGGUGCUGCAUGGUUGUCGUCAGCUCGUGCCGUGAGGUGUCAGGUUAAGUCCUAUAACGAGCGCAACCCCUGUUGUUAGUUGCCAGCGAGUAAUGUCGGGAACUCUAGCAAGACUGCCGGUGCAAACCGCGAGGAAGGUGGGGAUGACGUCAAAUCAUCACGGCCCUUAUGGGCUGGGCUACACACAUGCUACAAUGGUGGUUACAGUAGGACGCAAUGGAGCAAUCCGGAGCAAAUCCUCAAAGAUCAUCUCAGUUCGGAUUGGAGG
Molecule: ribosomal RNA, 507 nt
Filed under: uncultured bacterium
Lineage: Bacteria
Description: bacterial SSU rRNA
Rfam family: Bacterial small subunit ribosomal RNA
Source: RNAcentral